Molecule: long non-coding RNA, 585 nt
Organism: Pseudophryne corroboree (corroboree frog)
Lineage: Eukaryota; Metazoa; Chordata; Amphibia; Anura; Myobatrachidae
Exons: 5
Source: RefSeq, a predicted model, not a curated record
CUUUACUCAUGGUUAAUUUACUUCAGAGUGUAUUGAUGUUUUGCUGUAGCCUCCCCCUGUCAGGCAGACAGGCUAGUGUCAGUACUGGAGUGCGAUGUGUGGCCGAGUUGCCACGGUUACCACCGCUUCCCAAUUAUGUCAUCAGCCCAGCGCCUCCGGGAAACCGGAAGCUCCGCGCUGCGCCGCGGUCUUGAACACCGGCAUGGGGACAUUAUUUAGAUGUUAAGCAGACCAGCAGUAAGUUGGAGUGACUUAUUGAAUGUCCUUCUAUAGAACUGUGGUGCCCAGCUAAAUCAUCAGCACAUGUGGCCACUGCAGACCAAGAAAUCUUCCACAGUAAUGUCAGCAGAUCAGCAGCAGCAGCAGCAGCAGAGGCAUGCUAUGGGUCAGUGCACACCAGCACAGAUAAGAGGAGUGUGUGAUCAGAUGCUGCUGUCGGAGAUCCAAAUAAUCCAAUUCGUUUGUCCCUGCAGCGGAUGGAGGCCCACGUGCAGGGCAUCCAAGAUUAAAUACAUUUUUUGAUUCAUAUUUUUAGAUCAUUUUUAUUUUAUUUUAUAUUUAUAAUCAAUAUGUUACAUUAAAAUU